Molecule: unclassified non-coding RNA, 197 nt
Filed under: plant metagenome
Description: partial contains small subunit ribosomal RNA, internal transcribed spacer 1, and 5.8S ribosomal RNA
Source: RNAcentral
UCUCCGUUGGUGAACCAGCGGGGGGAUCAUUACCGAGUGCAAACUCAUAACCCUUUGUGAACCUAUAUCUGUUGCUUCGGCGGCUCGCUCUCGGGCGAGCCCGCCGGUAAUAUCAGUAUCUCUGUUUGAACCCGACGAUACUUCUGGGUGUUCUUAGCGAACAGUUAAAACUUUUAACAACGGAUCUCUUGGCUCUA